RNAcentral lists this ribosomal RNA (782 nucleotides) under Podosphaera xanthii. Its description in RNAcentral is "eukaryotic LSU rRNA". It matches the Rfam family "Eukaryotic large subunit ribosomal RNA", at positions 118 to 919 of the family's 3401-position model. The record is from RNAcentral. Lineage: Eukaryota; Fungi; Ascomycota; Leotiomycetes; Helotiales; Erysiphaceae.
AAAUCUGGCUCCUCGGGGCCCGAAUUGUAAUUUGUAGAAGAUGCUUUGGGUCUGGGCCUGGCCUAAGUUCCUUGGAACAGGACGUCGUAGAGGGUGAGAAUCCCGUAUGCGGCUGGCGCCCGUGCCCGUGUAAAGCUCUUUCAACGAGUCGAGUUGUUUGGGAAUGCAGCUCUAAAUGGGUGGUAAAUUUCAUCUAAAGCUAAAUAUUGGCCAGAGACCGAUAGCGCACAAGUAGAGUGAUCGAAAGAUGAAAAGCACUUUGGAAAGAGAGUUAAACAGUACGUGAAAUUGUUGAAAGGGAAGCGCUGGCAACCAGACUUGGGCGCUGUUGAUCCGCUAGGGUUCUCUCUAGGGCACUCGGCAGUGCGCAGGCCAGCAUCGGUUUGGGGGGUUGGAGAAUGGCUGGUGGAAUGUGGCUGUCUUUGGGCAGUGUUAUAGCCACCGGUGGCAUGCAGCCUCCCCGGACCGAGGACCGCGCUUCGGCUAGGAUGCUGGCGUAAUGGUUGUCAGCGACCCGUCUUGAAACACGGACCAAGGAGUCUAACAUCUAUGCGAGUGUUUGGGUGUUAAACCCAUACGCGGAAUGAAAGUGAACGUAGGUGAGAACCCGCAAGGGUGCAUCAUCGACCGAUCCUGAUGUCUUCGGAUGGAUUUGAGUAAGAGCAUAGCUGUUGGGACCCGAAAGAUGGUGAACUAUGCCUGAAUAGGGUGAAGCCAGAGGAAACUCUGGUGGAGGCUCGCAGCGGUUCUGACGUGCAAAUCGAUCGUCAAAUUUGGGUAUA